This 253-nucleotide ribosomal RNA is filed under the name uncultured bacterium. RNAcentral's name for it is "partial 16S ribosomal RNA". It matches the Rfam family "Bacterial small subunit ribosomal RNA", at positions 524 to 776 of the family's 1533-position model. The record is from RNAcentral.
UACGUAGGGUGCAAGCGUUGUCCGGAAUUAUUGGGCGUAAAGAGCUCGUAGGCGGUUUGUCGCGUCUGCUGUGAAAACUCAGGGCUUAACCCUGAGCCUGCAGUGGGUACGGGCAGACUAGAGUGUGGUAGGGGAGACUGGAAUUCCUGGUGUAGCGGUGAAAUGCGCAGAUAUCAGGAGGAACACCGAUGGCGAAGGCAGGUCUCUGGGCCACUACUGACGCUGAGAAGCGAAAGCAUGGGGAGCGAACAGG